GCUGACGAGCGGCGGACGGGUGAGUAAUGCAUAGGAAUCUGCCCGAUAGUGGGGGAUAACCUGGGGAAACCCAGGCUAAUACCGCAUACGUCCUACGGGAGAAAGGGGGCUUCGGCUCCCGCUAUUGGAUGAGCCUAUGUCGGAUUAGCUAGUUGGUAAGGUAAUGGCUUACCAAGGCAACGAUCCGUAGCUGGUCUGAGAGGAUGAUCAGCCACAUCGGGACUGAGACACGGCCCGAACUCCUACGGGAGGCAGCAGUGGGGAAUAUUGGACAAUGGGGGCAACCCUGAUCCAGCCAUGCCGCGUGUGUGAAGAAGGCCCUCGGGUUGUAAAGCACUUUCAGCGAGGAAGAACGCCUAUCGGUUAAUACCCGGUAGGAAAGACAUCACUCGCAGAAGAAGCACCGGCUAACUCCGUGCCAGCAGCCGCGGUAAUACGGAGGGUGCAAGCGUUAAUCGGAAUUACUGGGCGUAAAGCGCGCGUAGGUGGCUUGAUAAGCCGGUUGUGAAAGCCCCGGGCUCAACCUGGGAACGGCAUCCGGAACUGUCAGGCUAGAGUGCAGGAGAGGAAGGUAGAAUUCCCGGUGUAGCGGUGAAAUGCGUAGAGAUCGGGAGGAAUACCAGUGGCGAAGGCGGCCUUCUGGACUGACACUGACACUGAGGUGCGAAAGCGUGGGUAGCAAACAGGAUUAGAUACCCUGGUAGUCCACGCCGUAACGAUGUCGACCAGCCGUUGGGUGCCUAGAGCACUUUGUGGCGAAGUUAACGCGAUAAGUCGACCGCCU
RNAcentral lists this ribosomal RNA (784 nucleotides) under Halomonas sp. EC-HK369. Its description in RNAcentral is "bacterial SSU rRNA". It matches the Rfam family "Bacterial small subunit ribosomal RNA", at positions 87 to 874 of the family's 1533-position model. The record is from RNAcentral. Lineage: Bacteria; Pseudomonadati; Pseudomonadota; Gammaproteobacteria; Oceanospirillales; Halomonadaceae.